AACAAGGCGUACCUGCGGACCUGCGGAAGGAUCAUUAUCGAGUGUAACCUACCCCGUAAAAAGGGUGGUACCUCCCGUCCUUUGCAGGCCCCCCCUUUUGAUGGGGGGCUUUUUAAGACUUUCUGCUUCGGCGGGGUUACUCCCGCCGGAACACCCUCAAAAAAAUCUUGAUUAAAAACCGUUCAGUCCGAGAAUUUUGAAAAUUAAAAACUUUUAACAAUGGAUCUCAGAUCGGAAGAG
Molecule: unclassified non-coding RNA, 240 nt
Filed under: soil metagenome
Description: partial contains 5.8S ribosomal RNA, internal transcribed spacer 2, and large subunit ribosomal RNA
Source: RNAcentral